UACGUAGGGCGCAAGCGUUUGUCCGGAAUUAUUGGGCGUAAAGAGCUCGUAGGCGGUUUGUCGCGUCUGCUGUGAAAACCUAAGGCUCAACCUUGGGCUUGCAGUGGGUACGGGCAGACUAGAGUGCGGUAGGGGUGACUGGAAUUCCUGGUGUAGCGGUGGAAUGCGCAGAUAUCAGGAGGAACACCGAUGGCGAAGGCAGGUCUCUGGGCCGAUACUGACGCUGAGGAGCGAAAGCGUGGGGAGCGAACAGG
RNAcentral lists this ribosomal RNA (254 nucleotides) under uncultured bacterium. RNAcentral describes it as "partial 16S ribosomal RNA". It matches the Rfam family "Bacterial small subunit ribosomal RNA", at positions 524 to 776 of the family's 1533-position model. The record is from RNAcentral.